RNAcentral lists this ribosomal RNA (253 nucleotides) under uncultured bacterium. RNAcentral's name for it is "partial 16S ribosomal RNA". It matches the Rfam family "Bacterial small subunit ribosomal RNA", at positions 524 to 776 of the family's 1533-position model. The record is from RNAcentral.
UACGGGGGGGGCAAGCGUUGUUCGGAAUUACUGGGCGUAAAGGGCUCGUAGGUGGCCAACUAAGUCGGACGUGAAAUCCCUCAGCUUAACUGGGGAACUGCGUCCGAUACUGGAUGGCUUGAGUUUGGGAGAGGGAUGCGGAAUUCCAGGUGUAGCGGUGAAAUGCGUAGAUAUCUGGAGGAACACCAGCGGCGAAGGCGGCAUCCUGGCCUGGUCCUGACACUCAGGAGCGAAAGCGUGGGGAGCGAUCCGG